AUCCAGAGAAUUUAGCAGAGAUGCUUUAGUGCCUUCGGGAACUCUGAGACAGGUGCUGCAUGGCUGUCGUCAGCUCGUGUUGUGAAAUGUUGGGUUAAGUCCCGNAACGAGCGCAACCCUUAUCCUUUGUUGCCAGCACGUAAUGGUGGGAACUCAAAGGAGACUGCCGGUGAUAAACCGGAGGAAAGUGGGGAUGACGUCAAGUCAUCAUGGCCCUUACGAGUAGGGCUACACACGUGCUACAAUGGCGCAUACAAAGAGAAGCGACCUCGCGAGAGCAAGCGGACCUCAUAAAGUGCGUCGUAGUCCGGAUUGGAGUCUGCAACUCGACUCCAUGAAGUCGGAAUCGCUAGUAAUCGUAAAUCAGAAUGUUACGGUGAAUACGUUCCCGGGCCUUGUACACACCGCCCGUCACACCAUGGGAGUGGGUUGCAAAAGAAGUAGAUAGCUUAACCUUCGGGAGGGCGUUUACCACUUUGUGAUUCAUGACUGGGGUGAAGUCGUAACAAGGUAAGCGUAGUGCU
This 524-nucleotide ribosomal RNA is filed under the name uncultured bacterium. RNAcentral describes it as "bacterial SSU rRNA". It matches the Rfam family "Bacterial small subunit ribosomal RNA", at positions 986 to 1509 of the family's 1533-position model. The record is from RNAcentral.